AGCGACUAAGCGUACACGGUGGAUGCCCUGGCAGUCAGAGGCGAUGAAGGACGUGCUAAUCUGCGAUAAGCGUCGGUAAGGUGAUAUGAACCGUUAUAACCGGCGAUUUCCGAAUGGGGAAACCCAGUGUGAUUCGUCACACUAUCAUUAACUGAAUCCAUAGGUUAAUGAGGCGAACCGGGGGAACUGAAACAUCUAAGUACCCCGAGGAAAAGAAAUCAACCGAGAUUCCCCCAGUAGCGGCGAGCGAACGGGGAGCAGCCCAGAGCCUGAAUCAGUGUGUGUGUUAGUGGAAGCGUCUGGAAAGGCGUGCGAUACAGGGUGACAGCCCCGUACACAAAAAUGCACAUACUGUGAGCUCGAUGAGUAGGGCGGGACACGUGGUAUCCUGUCUGAAUAUGGGGGGACCAUCCUCCAAGGCUAAAUACUCCUGACUGACCGAUAGUGAACCAGUACCGUGAGGGAAAGGCGAAAAGAACCCCGGCGAGGGGAGUGAAAAAGAACCUGAAACCGUGUACGUACAAGCAGUGGGAGCACGCUUAGGCGUGUGACUGCGUACCUUUUGUAUAAUGGGUCAGCGACUUAUAUUCUGUAGCAAGGUUAACCGAAUAGGGGAGCCGAAGGGAAACCGAGUCUUAACUGGGCGUUAAGUUGCAGGGUAUAGACCCGAAACCCGGUGAUCUAGCCAUGGGCAGGUUGAAGGUUGGGUAACACUAACUGGAGGACCGAACCGACUAAUGUUGAAAAAUUAGCGGAUGACUUGUGGCUGGGGGUGAAAGGCCAAUCAAACCGGGAGAUAGCUGGUUCUCCCCGAAAGCUAUUUAGGUAGCGCCUCGUGAAUUCAUCUCCGGGGGUAGAGCACUGUUUCGGCAAGGGGGUCAUCCCGACUUACCAACCCGAUGCAAACUGCGAAUACCGGAGAAUGUUAUUACGGGAGACACACGGCGGGUGCUAACGUCCGUCGUGAAGAGGGAAACAACCCAGACCGCCAGCUAAGGUCCCAAAGUCAUGGUUAAGUGGGAAACGAUGUGGGAAGGCCCAGACAGCCAGGAUGUUGGCUUAGAAGCAGCCAUCAUUUAAAGAAAGCGUAAUAGCUCACUGGUCGAGUCGGCCUGCGCGGAAGAUGUAACGGGGCUAAACCAUGCACCGAAGCUGCGGCAGCGACGCUUAUGCGUUGUUGGGUAGGGGAGCGUUCUGUAAGCCUGUGAAGGUGUGCUGUGAGGUAUGCUGGAGGUAUCAGAAGUGCGAAUGCUGACAUAAGUAACGAUAAAGCGGGUGAAAAGCCCGCUCGCCGGAAGACCAAGGGUUCCUGUCCAACGUUAAUCGGGGCAGGGUGAGUCGACCCCUAAGGCGAGGCCGAAAGGCGUAGUCGAUGGGAAACAGGUUAAUAUUCCUGUACUUGGUGUUACUGCGAAGGGGGGACGGAGAAGGCUAUGUUGGCCGGGCGACGGUUGUCCCGGUUUAAGCGUGUAGGCUGGUUUUCCAGGCAAAUCCGGAAAAUCAAGGCCGAGGCGUGAUGACGAGGCACUACGGUGCUGAAGCAACAAAUGCCCUGCUUCCAGGAAAAGCCUCUAAGCAUCAGGUAACAUCAAAUCGUACCCCAAACCGACACAGGUGGUCAGGUAGAGAAUACCAAGGCGCUUGAGAGAACUCGGGUGAAGGAACUAGGCAAAAUGGUGCCGUAACUUCGGGAGAAGGCACGCUGAUACGUAGGUGAAGCGACUUGCUCGUGGAGCUGAAAUCAGUCGAAGAUACCAGCUGGCUGCAACUGUUUAUUAAAAACACAGCACUGUGCAAACACGAAAGUGGACGUAUACGGUGUGACGCCUGCCCGGUGCCGGAAGGUUAAUUGAUGGGGUUAGCGCAAGCGAAGCUCUUGAUCGAAGCCCCGGUAAACGGCGGCCGUAACUAUAACGGUCCUAAGGUAGCGAAAUUCCUUGUCGGGUAAGUUCCGACCUGCACGAAUGGCGUAAUGAUGGCCAGGCUGUCUCCACCCGAGACUCAGUGAAAUUGAACUCGCUGUGAAGAUGCAGUGUACCCGCGGCAAGACGGAAAGACCCCGUGAACCUUUACUAUAGCUUGACACUGAACAUUGAGCCUUGAUGUGUAGGAUAGGUGGGAGGCUUUGAAGUGUGGACGCCAGUCUGCAUGGAGCCGACCUUGAAAUACCACCCUUUAAUGUUUGAUGUUC
Molecule: ribosomal RNA, 2191 nt
Filed under: Shigella flexneri
Lineage: Bacteria; Pseudomonadati; Pseudomonadota; Gammaproteobacteria; Enterobacterales; Enterobacteriaceae
Description: partial 23S ribosomal RNA
Rfam family: Bacterial large subunit ribosomal RNA
Source: RNAcentral